This is an RNA transcript of Cydia pomonella (codling moth), 6901 nucleotides long. It is a transcript of the gene named protein-L-isoaspartate(D-aspartate) O-methyltransferase, with no coding region annotated. The transcript has 8 exons. The record is from RefSeq and is a predicted model, not a curated record. Lineage: Eukaryota; Metazoa; Arthropoda; Insecta; Lepidoptera; Tortricidae.
UUCAAAUUUUCAAUUUUCAGUAUUUUCACUUCUAUAAAAAACAUUGACUCCUUUAAUUACAGAAAAAUUGGAAAAAUAUUUGUUUAUGUUCUACACCGUUGUAUUUUUGAUUAUUGGAUUGUCAGUGAUGGCUUGGAGGAGUCAUGGUAUAAAUAACGCUGAUUUGGUGCGCAAUCUUAAAGCAAAUGGCAUUAUUAAAUCUGACGCAGUAGCAAAUGCUAUGAACUCUGUGGAUCGUAAGAACUACUGUCCCUAUGCUCCGUACCAUGACUCUCCGCAGUCUAUUGGCUACUCUGCCACCAUCAGCGCCCCACACAUGCAUGCCCAUGCACUGGAAAGGCUUAAAAACCAAUUAAUUCCUGGAGAAAAAGCCUUAGAUGUUGGCUCUGGCUCCGGAUACUUGACUGCUUGUAUGGCGUUCAUGGUUGGAGAGACCGGCCGAGUCAUAGGCAUAGAACAUAUUCCCGAGCUGGUGCAACUAGCUACUAAAAAUAUUAAGAAAGAUAAUCCUGCCCUGCUGACUUCUGAGCGCAUUAAAUUGAUUGCGGGGGACGGGCGAGUCGGUUACGAAGCUGAAGCCCCAUACAAUGCUAUUCAUGUUGGAGCAGCCGCACCUACACUUCCAGAAGCUUUAAUAGAACAGUUGAAGCCGGGAGGCAGACUCAUAGUUCCGGUUGGGCCGGAGGGCGGAGAGCAACAUUUGACACAGGUCGACAAGGCAGCGGACGGGUCACACACGGUCAAAAAGCUGAUGAGCGUCAUCUACGUGCCUCUGACCGACAAGGAGCGGCAGCACCGUGAGUGACCGACAUACUUGCUCGUGGCCGGCGCACUGUUCUGCCUGGCGCUCAUAUGCUGGUACAAGGAUCUCUUGCGGAAACUCUGGCGAUUAAAGUAGGCCGUGUAUAUAUGUUCCAUAUCACUAUUUACUAUGAUAUACUUAAUAGUAUUAAGUCCUGAUUUUUAAGAGAUGCUUUACAUUUUCAUUUUGCCGUUAAAAGUCCGCAGCGAGCUCGGCCGAAUUUCACCAUGCCAUACAAACGGAGUUUUGUUCUCAUUUUAAAACUACGUUGUUGGAUUUAAAUGAAACUAAGGUAAGUCAAUAAAUUUUUCGUGUGAUGGCUCCAUCAAGGUGUUGAUGAUUCUGCCAAUGUCCAGGUUGGAUAAGACACGGCUAGUAUAUGAAUCUUAUCAUAUUACGGUCAUAGACAGUGUUCGGUGGAGUAUCCGAUAAAUCUGCAAAGAAAUACAAAUUACCACUAACUAAUAGACUACAUACAACUAUUAAACAAUAUGAACACUACACUAUGUACAGAACAAACUACAGUUAAGUAUUAAAUCUACGAACUUAUUGUACAAUAAUAUGAUACAUACUACAAUUUAAGGUAAGUAAGGUUGCCAGAGCUCGACGAGGGGAGGGAGGGUUGUUAGGGUCGGCAACGCGCAUGUAACUCCUCUAGAGUUGCAGGCGUACAUAGGCUACGGAGACUGCUUACCAUCAGGCGGGCCGUAUGCUUGUUUGCCACCGACGUAGUAUAAUAAAAAAACUUUGCACAUACAACGGCAUGAGGUGAGGUGAGGACCUAUAUGACACAUUACAAAAUAAAAAUGAUUACCUAAAAACUGAAAAUACAUUUACAAUACCAAUACAAAUACUCUUUAUUGCACACCUCAAUACAGAAACAGUACAAAUAAUACAACACAUAAAGAAGAGGUAAACAACAGGCGGUCUUAUCGCUAAAAAGCGAUCUCUUCCAGACAACCUUCCUCCUUUCCUUUUUUUUUGUUUAUCAUUCAAACAAAAAUUAUUCAGCUACAAACAUAUUUAUUAGGUACACAAAUAAAUUGUAUAAUUAUUAGCGGCACUAAGUGGAAAUCAUUAUGCCUAUAAUUAGUUUAUAUAGCUCCAACUUAUAAAACAAACGCAAUAGAGCAAAAACAAGUUUUGUAUGAAAAAUGUAGAUUCGCUGUAUUUUUUAACCAACUUCAAAAAAGGAGGAGGUUCUCAAUUCGACUGUUUUUUUUUUGUAUGUAUGUUACUCGAUAUCUCCGAGAAUCGUGAACCGGUUUUCAAUAUUUUUUUUAAUCGAACGGGUAUAACCCCGAGAUGGUCCCGUUGGCACCAAGUCGGGGUCUGAUGAUGGGAUCUUGGAGAAAUCGAGGGAACUCUUCAAAUGUUAUAGGUACAUGUAUGGCGCUAUUGGUAAUAUUUAAAGUCGGUUUUAUUUUUUGUUUCAACUAUGGUAUCUAAAGCUAUAUAAACUAAUUACAGGCAUAGAUAUACCUUAUCCUAUUGUAAGUACAUAGUUUCAGAGCAAUCUAGCUAGCCGAUUUAAAAUGAGAACGUAACUACGUUUAUUUGGAGAACCGAGCUUGCUGUGAACUCUUAAAAGUAACGUUCGGCAAACCAAAUAUAAGAUUGAAAUGUACCAUACUUUUUUGAAAAAAAAUAAUGUAUUAAUAGUACUGUACUUGUAAUACAAUCUUGUAGUACAGUCGGCAUCCUAGCAUAAAUUUCCACUUUUCUAUACCUAGAGCUAUAUGGAGACGUGGGUAGAUACUUAAGUACGAUAUACGUGCUGUUGACGGACUAUUAGCAACAACAGUACCGUGAGUGACCGGCAUAUAUUACAGAGUGAGUGACCGGCAUAUAUUACAGAGUGAGUGACCGGCAUAUAUUACAGAGUGAGUGACCGGCAUAAACUGUGAGUUCUGCUAAGACUGCUCUGCUUAAACUACUUGAGAUUCAGUAAUUCUGGGCAUACAAGAAUUCUCUUAACAAUAAUCCCUUUUCUUAAUUGACUUAUAAAUAAUUAAAAAUAAAUAAAUUACCAUUAUAAAUUACCAUUUAUAUUGUUAAUGCCUGAUUAUUUAAUUUUAAUGAACACAGCCGUAUUAAUUAACACCGCUCCAUUUACUCCCCAAACUACCCUAUUGUGACGUCAUUGCGACAAGAAUUCGGAGUCUUAAUAGGGUUGUUUCCAUCUACAAAUCUUAGGGCAGAAAAGUAUCCCAAUAAAUUCUUAUGGUUUAUAAUAACAUGUUAAACUACCUUUAGUGGACCCCUAAAUUAGCAUAUUUUUGUAAAUAUUGAAUUUAAAAUAUCUUUUAACACACGUCACAUGACCCAAGUCGAUACGACAUUGAAGAUUCUGAUGACGUCACAAUUCACGGUUUGACACUGGGCUAUAACCGCGAAAAUCGAAGUUCGUCAUUGCGGGCAUUUUUUUUCUGUCAUUCUAAUUACGUCUUAGUAAGAGUAAAAGAGAAAGAUACCCACAAUAUACGAUUUUCGGGUUCGGAAAACCCACACGCACGCAUACACGCCCACCACCUAAAUGGCUAUGGCUUGUGUAUCAAAUUUUGUACUGAGAACAGACAACUGGGGGCCUUGGUGUUACGUCUGUAUGUACCUAUAUACUUACUUUACUCUUUGGUGUGUACAUAGUUCUGUGUCAUCCCGUAAACUGUGACGUCAUACAAUUAUCAAAGAGCGUUUUGGGCGCGAAAGCAUGGGUCAAAAUAUAUUUUGUUACUUUAACAUAUUUAAAGCCGUUUUUAGGGUAAAAGUUAAAUUUUAGGGCAACGUUUGGUUAAUAUAGAACGUAUUACAAGCGUUUCAAAAAAAUGCUAACAACCCUAUUGUAUGUAUCCUGGUACAGUACAGUACCAGCAGUGGUUCUAUAUAAAUGAAUCCAGCUUUACAUCUAUUGGUAAGUUCUUAUUUCUUUUGAACAGUGAUCGGAAUAAUACAAUGAAUUCAAUGAGUCCAAUACAAUGAAUUCAAUACUUAAGAGGUGUAAAAUAAUUUUUUUUUUUUUAAACGAGACACCAAACACCCUGUUUUCAUGUUCUGCUUUUCACUUAACGUUCAAAACGCUUAGUGGCCCCUAUUUUAUUUCGAUCAGUAUAUAUAAAAGUUAGAAAAAAAAUGGUUGUUUCAUUUUACGCCUAUUUAUUGUAUUGAACAAAACGAGGAAUGCAUUGCUUUUUACCGUAUUUAUAACAAUGUUGUUUACUUAGUACGUACGUUUCCGGGACUUCCCCGAAAAAAAUGGUAUCGGAAGGCAGUCUCCACUUUAUGACUUUGUUCUACCAAGUUUAGGUAUUUAUAUUCUGCCUACCGUGGUGGUUUAAAAGCAAAAAGAUAAAUACUAUGAUGUAGAGACUAGUAAUCAUAAACCAAUAUAUUUAAUUAAGUAUGUAUUUCUAAUUGUAUAUACCAGUUUCCAACAAUAGUCCGCAACAACAGCGGGGUGUUUUGCGGAUUUAAAUCAUUGUCGUACUUUUAUGUUUGAUUAGGCGGGUCCACACAGAGCGAGCAUACGCGCCAGUGUAGACGUGCCGCAGCCGAGGCGGCCCGCACAUUUACUUCGCCCAAGCGCGACCUUGGCCGAGCCGCUCGGUGUAGGUUUUUCGGCAUGCUCAAAGGCGCCUCAGACGUUUGCCGCGCGCCAGUGUAGACGUAUGGUGCGCUUGGUUAUUUUGUUUAUACUUACGCAUUGUGUGGACCCGCCUAUUAGAAAAAAUCACCAUUAUGAUUAGGAUUCUUAUUUUAUGUCCAAUCCAGCAAAAGGAGAGCAACCCUCAGAAUAGUGCGCUGGUCACACAAACUAGUUCUUAAGUAUUUCAAUGUAAAUGACCGAAUUAAUCAUUCUCAUCAAGACUUUAAUGUAUAAAAUGAGGGGAGAUAUAUCUGCUUAAUAUUCCAGGUUGUAUUGUUUUUGCAAAGAAUUUCAUUUGUAAUCAUCAAAAUAUAUAUACGGUGUUUCACUAGGAACACAAACGAUUUUGAUUGUGUAUUCCGUGUGUGUAUUCCUGAUCAUAUUUAAAGACUCAAAUGUCCUAUAAACGUUUCUAGAAUUCGCCUAGUUUCAGUUAAUGCCAAUUGAAAAAGAAAACAUUUUUAUUGUUACUUAGCGCUAAACGCCUUUUCGAUGGCGAUGUUGCUACUAUGGGACGUAGUCUAAAUACUCUAAAAUAUCCUUAUUGAUAGAUGUAAAAAGUGACAAAUAAGUAAUAACACUUUACCAAAAACUAAGGUUUUACGAAAAAAAAGUGAAAAUUCAUUUUAAGUGACAGGUUUAUACAAGGUGCCCGUGAGCAUUGCGAGAGAUUUUAACGGUGCAUUCCUGGUAAUAUUUGGAAAUUAAAAUGUCACAUCAAAUUUUCAAGAUUUUAAUUAAUUUCAGAUAUAAUUAAAUGUUUUUUGAAAUCAUUCUUUCGCCAUAAGUCGGUACAAAACACAUUUUUGACUGCGGUAUUGCCACUUUGAGGUCUAGUACAUACCUAUUGAUUGACAUCGAAAAAUUAAAAAAAUGUAUUCGAGAGGCUACCCCCAAAUAAAAAAACUCUUUUUGGUUAAUCUUAGGUUAUGCAUUUAUCCAUAAAAAUUACGUUUUUUGUAUUUUUUUUUUAUCGAAUUUCACAAAAACUCAUAUAACAUUUUUGCUUCUGUUGCCAUCAGGAAUGCACCGUUAAAAUCUCUCGCAAUGCUCACAUUGGGCUCAAUGGGCUCAAUGGGCACCUUGUAUAAAUAACAUUUGAAUUUACAAAUAAACGAAAAAAAAAAUUUUUUUGGCGAAAUUGACCUAAAUCUUUCGGGUUCCCCGUAAUACAUCGUGUAUGUAUGUAUAUCCAGUAGGCUUAGCACAAGUGCGCCUCGACAGUAUCUCACGCAAUUGUAUUCAUUAGAGAUACCUAUAGCUGCUGCUCGAUACAACGUUGGCGCAACUGCGCAGUGACGCCAUUUUCCAUAGCGCUGACUAGACGCCGACGCUCAAAAGACCCUAGUGUGGGGUGGCCGUAAGUCUCGCACGAGGUACUGUCGCGGCGCACUUUUGCUAAGCCUACUUUAACCUUAGGUUUAGACACUUUUCUGUAGUUUAGUCCUAUUUUCAAAUAUUUGUAAUUAUUUAAUAUUGUUAAUCCAAUAAACUUAAACACUUUAAACAGCAGGUUUGCAGCCGUUUCGAUAGUUCUGAUUUGCCCCAGUCCAAUGAAAAAGGUACUUGGCGUUUUUAAUUCUGAAAUUAAGAAGUGCACUGCCUUCGUUCCUACUGAACCUAUGACCUGUCUAUACUCCUAAGACCCUGCGUACAAAUUCUUGUAAAGUCGCGAUCAGAUACAUCGGAGCGGUCAAGGCGUUCACAAAUAUCUGAACACGCCUCUAUUGUCAAGGCGUUAGAGUGCGCGUUCAGAUAUUUUUGAGCACCUCGGCCGCUCUGAUAUAUCUGAUGGCGACUGUACAUAUGUGAUUAACAAUCUAUUUUUAACUUUUGAUGUGUAACUAAGGGUUCCAAAUUCAAAAACCAAAACGCUUUUGGGUCUCCGGAUGGUAUAAUAUUGGACUGAGCUUUAAAAUGUAUAAGGUGCUUUAGGGUAACUUCGAAAGCGGGGUCAUUUUGAAAAUCACUAAUAUUCACUUAACUAGAAGGACUUUGUACUGGUACAGUCAGCAUCAAAAGUAGCGUAUCAAACAACGCUUCAAAAGUAUCUACCAUUCUGUAACAGCUUAACAAAAAGUGAUGGUUCUCUUUGUAGAACAAAUGAGAUUGUAAAAGAUAUACUUUUGACCGUGAUUUUUAAAGAUUAGUCUAUUUGGAAAAGUUAUCCGGAUUAUCAGAUACUUUUGGCGCGUUGUUUCAUCAGCUACUAUUGAUGCUGACUGUACCACAGUAAGACAGAUGCCUUAAUAGCCAGCCAUAUAUCACAGUUAUAAUAUUCAACUCUAUUGAUAGCUAUUAAAGUUCAAAUUGAAACAACCUUACUCAUAAAAAUAUUAAGUACUCUGUUGUCGAAGUAACCCCAAUGCAUUUUAAUAAAACACAAUGUAUGUAUAAUUUGAUUUAUUCCUUAUAAAUUAUUGUAUAGCUCAAAAAUAAAUUAAGAAUCAAUGACA